AAAAAUGGGCCCACAUGCCCGUGUGGCCUACACAUCCAGCUUGGCCUAGCCCGUAUGGCCCACACGGCCAUACUCCAGCCACGACACGAUCGUGUCUUGCGCAUAGCGAUGCUUCCGUUGAACACAUGGCCAUGUCUCGCAGACGGACAUCCACACAGGCUACCACAUGCCCAUUUGGCAUUGAUAGUGCAAUAUUUGGGAUUUUUC
Molecule: long non-coding RNA, 207 nt
Filed under: Gossypium barbadense (sea-island cotton)
Lineage: Eukaryota; Viridiplantae; Streptophyta; Magnoliopsida; Malvales; Malvaceae
Description: long non-coding RNA (GBAR_LNC022831)
Source: RNAcentral